Molecule: ribosomal RNA, 422 nt
Filed under: uncultured bacterium
Lineage: Bacteria
Description: bacterial SSU rRNA
Rfam family: Bacterial small subunit ribosomal RNA
Source: RNAcentral
UGAGGAAUAUUGCACAAUGGAGGAAACUCUGAUGCAGCGAUGCCGUGUGCGGGAAGAAGGGGCUUUGCCUUGUAAACCGCUGUCGGAUGGGACGAAAGCCCGGGUUGCCCGGGUGGGACGGUACCAUUAAAGGAAGGGACGGCUAACUACGUGCCAGCAGCCGCGGUAAUACGUAGGUCCCGAGCGUUGUCCGGAAUUACUGGGUGUAAAGGGUGCGCAGGCGGUUUUGUGCGUCAGAAGUGAAAUAUCACGGCUCAACCGUGAGGGUGCUUUUGAUACGGCAAGACUUGAGUACGAGAGAGGAUGAUAGAAUUCCUGGUGUAGCGGUGAAAUGCGUAGAUAUCAGGAGGAAUACCGGUGGCGAAGGCGGUCAUCUGGCUCGUAACUGACGCUGAGGCACGAAAGUGUGGGGAGCAAACAGG